UUUUUUUAGACAAUGUGAGCCGGCCCAAAACUAAUUAUCCAACAACAAAACAAUAGCCCACAAUCCAUUUACCCUUAAAUCCCAACCCAACUCAUAUAUACAAAUCCAAUAUCACAACCCAUUUACCCAAAUUUCCAAAAUCAAAAUUUGAAAUACGAAUUAUACGAUUUAGGGAUGCUCUUCUCGACGUGCUGCGGUGCUCUCCUAUGUCUUCUCUGUUUGUUCAUCAUCGUCCGGUCACUCGACUCACUCCACAAUCUCCACAGGUCCACCUCCGCCCAGACCCUUCACCGGCCGCUUGAAAUUUGAAUCUUCAAUUCUUCAUAAGUCGGUUGAAGUCGAACACUCGAACUUCGAACUCGAAGUGUAAGUCGUGUGACUCUGCAGUAGCGCCUGCAGCCUACUCCACUGGACCGCUGCUUGUCGUCGCCCGUUGAGGACCUAUCACCUGCUGUAUAGUCUGUUUGGGGCCGCACAAUUUAGAUAAAAUUUCUGUAAGUUACAUGUACAUUAUUCACAAUUUCUGAUUAAUUCGUUUAUUUAUGUUUAGGCUUAUUAAUUUAUUAUAAUUACUUAAUUUUUUUAUUGAACAGUAUUUUAAACUUUAAAGCGGUAGGGGCGGAGGCCGGACCGGAGAGGCGGGAGAGCUUUCAACUUUGUUGGGACUUAGUUCCUGGCUCCUGCAGUCUGCAGGUUAGAAUUUAGCCUUCUUGUAUGUGUAAUCCAUUGGGCAAUUUAUGUUUGUUACUUGUUAGUUUGUAUUAUAGGUAACUCAAUAUUUAUCCAGUAGUAAGGGGUGAAGCCCAGCGCCCUAAAAUUGAAUGAGUCCCAGUGUCCCACCAAAAUGCUAGCUGCCAUUGCUUCAAAAUUCUAGACUAAUCUGAGCAAUUCCAAUUUGAUAUAUCAUUAUUAUCAUCGUUCGAAUAUCCUCAGGGCUUCACCACUGCUCCAUAUGUGGCCAAAAAUUUCCAUGUUUUUGUAAGUUCUAAUUUUUAAAAAAUUUUCCUUUUCACUUUUUGUAAGUAAGUAAUUUGGUGUUUCUUUUUCAAUAAUUAUUGGUUCUUAAGCAUUCCAGUUGUAGUUGUAUUGUUUGAUAAGAUAACCCAUGCUUUCUGUAGGAACAGCAAAUAAUUGCAUUUCUAGAUCAUAGGAAUGGGUCAUAAAUUAGUAAGUUGGCAGUGAAUUAGUGCCAGUGUAAUAUGUCUGAUAAUGUUUGUAUCUCAUCUUAAUUUGGGAAUCAGAACAAUGUAAUGAAAUUUAAACUAAUUCUUACAUAAGUCAAGUAAAAAUUGGGAGGUAAGGCUAUUGGACAAGGAACUUAGUUUGAUUGAUAUUAGUUACUAUCUGUCUGUGUUGUGCUGUAUGAGUUUUAGUGGACAUAUGUUUUGUCAAAUUGACUGAGUGUGGAUAAACCAGAUUUCAAAUGUCACUACAACCAGUUAGUUAGGCAUCUUGUAGUUUCGGAGACUUGGUCCGUUCAGAAUUUCAUUUUGGCAUUACAAUUAAACUAACUUCGUGUCCCCGGUUUAGCUGUGGUGUGUAAGUGUAAUAAGAUUGUGGUUUUUGCUUUGGCCCCAGUAGAAUUGUUUUAGAAAAUAUAUGACAGUGCCACUGAAAUAUUUUGGGAUCUAUUAAGUUGUUAAAAUGCAUCUUCUGAAUUCUAGAAAACCCAUAUUGCUUGAGGGUCUAGUUAGCUUAGCAAGGCUCAAGCUUUGUCCAAAAUGGAAUAUGUAUUACUGCUGAUGCAGAAACUUUUAUAAUGAACAAAUGGUUUAUCUUUUUCAAUUUUCAGAAUUCAUACAAUCAAAAGCGUUGCUAAAACGAAACUAAUAAGCACGCUUUUCCUCAACAUUUUGUAUGUAUUUCAUGAAUAAAAUCUAAAUUUUUCCUUUAUUUUUGCUCGAUGAAAUAAUCAAAUGGUGAAGGGUAUAUACAUAGGUGAGGAGGAGGAUGGGAUAUUACGUGCAUGUGAAGCUAUUUUACUGGAUUCUAACAGAACCAUUCACAUGGGAGUUGGGAGAAGAUAAGUUUGCAGAUAGUAGAUGAAGAGUUCAUGGAAAUUCUAAGAAAGUAACUAUGCUAUCAAUAAUUUAUGAGAAAAGUAAAUACUGCAUAAAUGAAAAUUAGUAUAUAUAAAUACCUUUGUUAUAUCUCAUGUAAUUCAUAACGUUAAUUUCCUUUUUUCUAAGAGAACUUGUGUAUAUUAUAAAAUGCAACUUGACAUAGUGGAUUUGGAGUCACUAAGGGUAAAGAGAAUGGGAUACAUUUUAGUGGUAACUGGCUGUUACUAGGAUGAAACUGAGGCAGUUGACUAGGAAUAAAAAACCUAUGAUCUUAACACUUGAUAAGAUGUAGAGCACUGGUUGUAGGAGCAUCUCACAAGCAAGAAUUUCUGACAAACAAAGUAUAACCCGCUACUUGGAAACUUGUGCCAUUUUACAGCUCUAUUUGGUGGUGUGAAGGCACAUUCUAAGGAAGUGGAAAUUUGUAUAUAGCAAUAAGUCUGCCAACAACUAUAGUUUUGCCAAAUUUUCAAUGACAGACAAUUGUAUUUAAGCAUUGAAUUAUAUAGAGAAUGUAAUACUUUCUUUCAUCGGUAUUAUGCAUGUUGAUUCUAAGAGAUGUCUUUGUCUCAAUUUGUAGGGGCCAUUAUGAAUGCACCUGAAGCUAUUAUUAAAUUUUUUAAAAUUGCAAUCGGCUUACUCCUAGUUCAGAAAAUGGUAUCAUUCUCAAUGGUGUAAUUCCACAAUCUUCAUCUAAAUUCCAUUUCUCUAGUAAGUAAUGGUUUGCACUAACUUGUUAUUGAAGAGAUUGGAAUUAUUUGAAGCCUUAUCAGCUUAUAUAAUUGCAGCCUAGUCGGCUCAUAUGAUUGCUUAUUGUACGAUGAACAAUUGAACAGGCGCACGUAGUAACUAUAUUCGAAACUAUAAUUGUGAGAUGAUUGAGAUAUUGUGUAAUUGUUUUUUAGGUUAAUCAUUGGACAUUAGAUAUUCACCCCUAUAGUAUGCCUCCUAAAUAUGAGUCUGGUGCUCAAAAGAGGAAAAGGAAACGAGAUGAAAUUGCAUUAAUUCAAAGCAAGCAGGGGAUAUUAACAAGUACUUCAAAAGCAACAAUGUGAAUGUGUUGAAUGAGGAUGAAGUAGAGAUUCAACAAGACCAUGUUAAUGAAGUUAGAUGAUAAGGAUGAAGAAGUGAGUCAACAGGCAGAUGUUAACGAAGUAGAUGAUAAGAAAGAAGAAGUGAUGAAGCCCGCCUCUAAUAAUGAAGAAGAUGAUAAGGAAGAAGAUUGUUGCUUUUCUAUAAAUUUGGAUGAUCCUGGGAAUUGGAAAAUCAUUGGUCAAAGAACCAGGGAUUACUUAGUUGAAAGGGGUCCAAAAAGAGUUGAUGACAUCUCGUUUCCGAAAGACUAUACAAAUAGACAUUUCGAUUCUUUAUAAUAUAAGCGAUUAUUACUAAAUGGGCAAACAGUUGAUAGAAGAUGGCUAGUAUAUUCAGUGUCUAUGGACAGUAUCUUCUGCUUUACUUGCAAGUUGUUUAAAACACAAAUAAAUGUGACCGAAGUUGGCCAACUAGGUAAUGAUGGAUUCAAAAAUAGACAUAAUUUGUAUCGAUCUAUUAAAAGUCAUGAAGGAAAUGAAGAGCAUUUAAGUUGCAUGACUAGUUGGAUUGAAUUGGAAAAUAGGCUUCAAACAAAAACUACAAUUAAUAAAAGCUUUGAAUUGUUGAUUGAUGCUGAAAGAGAACAUUGGAUACAUGUAUUAACAAGGAUAAUCACUAUUGUAAAAAGACUUGCAAAAAGCACAUUGCUAUUUCGAGAAGAUGAUGAGAGGCUACAUGUUGAGUACAAUGACCAUGGUUAGUGAAUUUGAUCCAGUAAUGCAAGAGCACCUUCGACGAGCUAAAGCAAGAGAGAUUCAAUAUACGUAUCUUGGCAAAAAAAAUUCAAAAUGAUUUGAUACAGUUGUUGGCUAAUGAGGUGAGAAGUUCAAUUGUCAAGAAAGUUAAACAUGCAAAAUAUUUUGCAGUUAUACUUGAUUGUACUCCAGAUGCAAGUCACGAGGAACAAAUGUCUUUAAUUGUAUGAUUUGUAGAUGAUUCGAAAAACUUACCUACAGUUGAAGAACAUUGGCUAAAAUUUUUUAAAGCAGAUGAUACAAUAGGACUUGGACUUGCAACCGAGUUUCAAAAGGCUUACUCCAUGUGGCACUCAUAGUCUAAAUAUAGCAUUAUGUGAUAUGGUGAAUUGUUGUCCAAAGUUGUAUCCUUCUUCGGAGUGAUACAACGCAUCUACACAUUGUUUUCUUCUUCUACCAAGUGAUGGAAAAUUUUCAAAGACAGUGUACAAGGGUUGACAAUGAAGCCAUUGUCACAAACAUGUUGGAAAAGUCAUGAUAAUGGAGCAAAUUGCACAGAUAAGAGAUGCAUUAUUUGAUUUGGCAGAAAGUAAUGAAUAUCCUAAACUGAAGAGUGAAGCCGAGUCAUUAGCAACACAUGAACUUCAAAAAUUUUGAGUUUUUGCUUGGCAUGAUAAUCUGGUACAGGUUGUUGCAUGCUGUCAAUAUUGUGAGUAAAUUUCUUCAAACCGAAUCCAUGGAUAUUAAUCAUGUUAUCGACCUCUUGCAAGGACUUGUUUCAUUUCUUGAGGAAUAUAGAGAAAUUGGAUUUGCUAUUGCCAAGGAUGAAGCGACAAAAAACGCAAGCGAAAUGGGAAUUGAAGCUGUAUUUAUAGAAAAACGCAUAAUUCGAAGAAAAAAAUAAUUUGAUGAAAGCGGUAGUAAUGAGGUAAAGCAAUCAACAGAAGAAUUUUUUAGAGUUGAGUGCUUUGUUUUUAUAAUUGAUCAAGCUCUAUCUUCUCUGAGAACCCAAUUUGAACAAUUCAAACAAUAUGAUAACACAUUUGGAUUUUUGUUUAAUUUGAAGAGGUUAAGGGGUGCAACUUUUUCAAGUUUAUUGAACUCUUGUAUGAAUCUUGAGAAAUAUCUUCAACAUGAUCGGCGUUUGGACAACAGUGGGGAUGAUUCAUGUUCGGAGUUACAAAUCUUGAUGUGUUAUAUACCAGGUGAAGCAACAAGAGCAAUUGAAGUGCCACAUUAUUUGAAGAUAUUGAAUGUUUGUUUUCCAAAUGCUUAUAUUGCUUACAAAAUUUUGUUAACCAUACCGGUUACAGUUGCAUUUGCGGAAAGAAGUUUCUCGAAAUUGAAGUUGAUCAAGACCUAUCUCCGAUCAACCAUGUCGAAAGAAAAAUUAAACGGGUUGACUAUGUUAUCAAUAGAGAAAGAAAUGAUUGAGUAGCUAAAUUAUUCAGAUUUGAUUGAUGUUUUUGACUCUAAAACAACAAGACGAAUAGAAUUUAACUAAUUGUUUCAAACAUUGUUGGUUUUGAUAGUUUAUAAUAUAAAUAUUUUCUAUAAUAUAUUUGGUUGCUGUUUUAAUGUUAGUUUUUUAAAUUAGUAAUGGGUCGCAUAAUUCAUUUUUGAAGUUUGCAUUUACGUAGAUUUCGUCGGGGCCUAAUUUCCAGACUUCGUCUCAGGCCCCGAGAAUUACAGGAUCG
This 5550-nucleotide long non-coding RNA is filed under the name Olea europaea subsp. europaea. Lineage: Eukaryota; Viridiplantae; Streptophyta; Magnoliopsida; Lamiales; Oleaceae. The record is from RNAcentral.